This 320-nucleotide ribosomal RNA is filed under the name uncultured bacterium. RNAcentral's name for it is "bacterial SSU rRNA". It matches the Rfam family "Bacterial small subunit ribosomal RNA", at positions 29 to 334 of the family's 1533-position model. The record is from RNAcentral.
AACGAACGCUGGCGGCAGGCCUAGCACAUGCAAGUCGUGCGUGAACGCUCCUUCGGGAGUUAUUAAAGCGGCGAACGGGUGAGUAACACGUGAAUAAUCUGCCCUAGAGACUGGGAUAACAGUUGGAAACGACUGCUAAUACCGGAUAAGCCUACGACUCUUCGGAGCAGUAGGAAAAGCGGGGGAUCCUUCGGGACCUCGUGCUUUAGGAUGAGUUCGCGGCCCAUUAGGUAGUUGGCGGGGUAACGACCCACCAAGCCAGAGAUGGGUAGCUGGUCUGAGAGGAUGAUCAGCCACACUGGAACUGAGACACGGUCCAG